UACGUAGGGGGCAAGCGUUGUCCGGAAUCAUUGGGCGUAAAGAGCGUGUAGGCGGCUUGAUAAGUCGGAUGUGAAACCUCCAGGCUCAACCUGGAGUCGCCAUCCGAUACUGUCAUGGCUAGAGUCCGGUAGGGGCCCACGGAAUUCCUGGUGUAGCGGUGAAAUGCGCAGAUAUCAGGAGGAACACCGGUGGCGAAGGCGGUGGGCUGGGCCGGCACUGACGCUGAGGAGCGAAAGCGUGGGGAGCGAACAGG
RNAcentral lists this ribosomal RNA (254 nucleotides) under uncultured bacterium. Its description in RNAcentral is "partial 16S ribosomal RNA". It matches the Rfam family "Bacterial small subunit ribosomal RNA", at positions 524 to 776 of the family's 1533-position model. The record is from RNAcentral.